Molecule: transfer RNA, 64 nt
Filed under: Anthocoris kerzhneri
Lineage: Eukaryota; Metazoa; Arthropoda; Insecta; Hemiptera; Anthocoridae
Also listed under: 2 other names
Description: tRNA-Thr
Source: RNAcentral
GUUUUAAUAGUUUAACAAAAAUAGUGAUCUUGUAAAUCACAGAUAGGAAACUACCUUUAAAACU